GCACGAAAACCGAAGGCAGAGAUAAGCAUGUAGAAAGCAUAUGGCUUCCUUGUUUGGACGAGGGUUCGAUUCCCUCCAGGUCCACCC
RNAcentral lists this transfer-messenger RNA (87 nucleotides) under Phocaeicola coprocola. RNAcentral's name for it is "partial transfer-messenger RNA". It matches the Rfam family "transfer-messenger RNA", at positions 287 to 374 of the family's 374-position model. From Rfam's summary of the family: Bacterial tmRNA, also known as 10Sa RNA or SsrA, is named for its dual tRNA and mRNA-like properties. Lineage: Bacteria; Pseudomonadati; Bacteroidota; Bacteroidia; Bacteroidales; Bacteroidaceae. The record is from RNAcentral.